Molecule: long non-coding RNA, 4262 nt
Filed under: Homo sapiens (human)
Lineage: Eukaryota; Metazoa; Chordata; Mammalia; Primates; Hominidae
Description: non-protein coding lnc-KLHL32-4:30
Source: RNAcentral
AUUCUCCUUUCCCUCCUCUCCAUCUCCCUAUUGCAUUGUGUCUGACUGAUUUUCAGAGCACCUUCGCUGUUUCCCCCUUCUCGUUCCCUUCUCAUAAAAUAUCUAGACAGGAAGGAGGUGGCUGCAGAGGCUGAACAAUCUCAUAUUCUGCCUGCAAUGUCAUCGUUUCUUUCCCCCAUUUUAGGGGGCUGAAGUUGCCCAGCAAGGGAUGCAGAGGAGCUGGAAAAGAAGGGGGGAGCUCUCCAGAGGCAGCUGCGGUCAGGGGCAGGGACUGCCGCCAGAUGUGCCUGCCUUUCUGGGCUUUGAUGAGAAAGGGGCAGCAGGAGGAAAUAUUGGGAGACAAAAGCCCCGGUUUAAAUGAUCAUUUUCUUUAUUUAACAUGGCAGCAGACACUCUCUGCGUAGGAUCAUCAUGCCGAGCAUAAACUGGACUUUCCCACUUGCCUGGCAGGAGUCACACAGAUCCCUGCGUGCUAAAUGAACAUCUGAGGUUUGAGAUGGGGCCCAAGAUGCUUUUCUGACAAGUUUCCUGGUGAUGCAAUGUUGCUGUUGGGGAAACCUCCAUUUGACCCUUGAAUCCUGACUAUUGGAGAAACAGCACCAUAUUUUGGAUACUGAUUCAGACCAUAUACAGCCUUCUGGAGAAUCUUGCCCCAGUCCUGAAAGGUAUUUCUAUUCAUCUAGUUGGUGCUAUAACUGAGUCUUCAAAAGACAAUUCCACUGUUCUAUCAAGAAAGCUGCUUCAGGAUGGUGGGAAAUAUGAUGUCCUUGGCGUGUACACCCUGUGGAAUCUGGUUCAUCUUCAAUCUGUCAGAAGGCAUCAGAGGUGGUUUUGACUCCUUAUGUCUUGGACCUGUGCACAAAAAGUGUAAAAUGGAUGGAACAUCAGACAGCUCAUUAUAGAGACAAGUAAGCUCCAGUUCCAAAGUUGGUUGACAGAACAAGUCAUGACCUUGUGUGGAGGAAAAUGAGAUCCCGAGUGAAGUCUACAAUGUCAUUGACUCUGAAGAAGGACUCAGAGACCCAUUGGUGUUUAAUGACCCUUACUGGCCUAUGCAAUGGAAACUGGUAUGAUCUUCAGAAAUAGAUGGUUCUUUGGCAGUGUUAAGAAAUAUUAUUUUUGUCAUGUUCUAAUGCAGUAGAUAGGCACUUUUAUGCACUGCCUGCUUUUAUCUAUUGGUUUUGCAGAGAGAGACUUAGCAAACUUUUGAUGAAAUAUUACUGCCAUCUUAUUAAUGAACACUAAUCCUUUUAAUUUGAUUACAUCCUUAGGGUUUGAUUUAAUCUAUAAAAGACACCAGUAAAAACCCCAAGAUAUUUAAAUUUGGUGUGUGUAAACAGACUCAUUACAUAGAAAUGUUGUUGCCAUUCAGGCUUGAAGUUUUUGUUCUUGCAUAACUUAGAAUAUAUUCUAUAUUACAUCAAUACUGAGAGAACUUGUCUUUAUGGAUUAAGUGGAUGUUAGAACAUUGCCCAACAGACUUUUUUUCAUAAUGCUUAUUUUGUUGGACCUUUUAGUAUCACAUUGCCCUCCCAUUUAUAUAAGACGGUAAUAAUGAAAAGGUUUGAGAAAAGCACCCUUAAUUUUGAAUGCAAAUAAGUUUAAAAAAAUGAUGUACAUACCAUGGAAAAUUUUAUAAGGAAACAUUUAAAAUGUGAAGAUAACUUGGUGAUAAUAUUGGAGAGAAAUUACAACCUUAUUAUAUGCAUAAUUAGUUCUUCAUAGGUCUGCAGAUUAUAUUGUGUUGUAGAGGGUCCAAUGUUGCAAAAUGAGGAAAAGGUUAGGUGCAUUUUAUCAUUUUAAGGGCCAUGAUGAGAUAAAACAUGGUAAGCUGUUGUGCUGGCUCUUUUUAUGUUGAUCAUUGGCAGUUACCAAGCUGACUAUCUGACAUGAGCUGAAAACCUAUGUUGAAAAAAUGUCCAGUUCCAUUUUAUGUAGCUUCAACUCAUCUUUAAAAAAUGAAGUGAUUUAGAACACAUGUCACGCACUCCUGGGCCAGCCAGCUUCCCUUUCUCUCCUCGUAUGUAAUAUCUUUUUUUCCCCUUUCUAGCAAGUACUUUCAAAAGAACUCUGUACAUUUUAACAUAAAAAAUAAAUUAUGUUGGGCCAUUUUGGAAAAAAAAUACUUAUUUGGCUAAAUUUAACAUUUCAAACAAAUAAAAAAUUCAAGCAGAAAAUAAUUGAGGACUGCUUCAGUUUCCUGGAGGUGGUAUAAUCAGUAACAAUUUAGUGAACUAGAGUCAAUCAGGAUUAUGAAAGUCAAAGAGAAAAAGAGUGAUAUUAAGAAAAAGGACUGAGGAAAGGUAACUAGAUAAGGAAGAAGGGCAUGAAAUAUGAAAAAAAAAACCUUUCUUUUUUUUCUUUACCUGAAGAAACAGCAAAAAUUAAGAUGAGUACUUGAAGAUUACACAUAUGACACAUUGUAAUUUGUCACCUCAGAAAGAAUACUUUCUUGUAUUGGCAAUAAAAUGUCAAGCCCCUCUAUAAUGAGGUCAAGAAUUUCAGCAGACACAAUAGGGAAAGGAGAUGGAGGGCAAGUAAUACAGGAAAGAAGAGAAGAAUUGAGUAGCAAGCAGUCAAUAAAGUGACAGGGAUUAGAAAUGGAGAGAAGUCUUAGAGACCAUUAAGCAAUAGAUCCUCUUAAAAGCAGCAUAGAAGAGAUCAUGAAAGGAAAAAGCAGAAAAAAGAAGUUGUAUGAUGACCCUAUAUCAUUUUCUAGGGCAGGAGUUGAUAAACCUUUCCUGUAAAAGUUCAGAUAGUAUAUAUUCAGGGUUUGUGGGCCACAUAAUUGGCUGUGGCAUAUUCUUUUGUUUCUUUAUUUCAGAUUUUUUAAAAUGUAAAAACCAUUUUUUCACUUAGGGCCAUAUGAAAACAGGUUAUAGGCUGGAUUUUACUCACUGGCCAUAGUUUACUGACACCAGUAGGGAGUGGGAGCUAUGGAGAAAUGAGGAGUCAGGGAGGAAGCAGCCAUUCAGAUGUAGGCCUUCAAGUGCUGUGCUGAGUUAUACCCACAUUACACUAGUACAAUUCAGAGAUGAAAGGUCUGGAUUAUUAUUAUUUCCAGGUAGCACCAUUCUGGAGGCACAUCUACCAUUAUGGAAAAGAUUCGUUUUAGUACCCAGGCAAGGCAUGGUACAUAAUUGCAAAGAAUGGGCUGCACUUUACAACUGGAUGGUGUAUCUAAAACAUAUUAAUAACAACAGACCUAAACUGUGUUGCAGAAUCCAUCCUCUCACCAGAAUACCAACUUUAUUUCAAUGAAAGACUGAGUGGUUCAGGGUGUUGUGCUGCCUUAACAGGGAAAUUUGAGGCCUUAUUCUGAUGAGCACCCUUUAAGCAGCCUCCUUCAGUUACUAGUUUCUCUCUCCGCUCUUCACAGCCAACCUUCCUGAAAUGGUCUUUCUUAUCUUCAUUUUUGUGCUCAUCUACUCCUCAGCCAACACUUGUAGCAAUCUGGUUUUGUGAUGCCCUUCCACGUAUCUCUGCCAUCGUGUCACCCCCACACUCUCUACUUAAUCUCUCAAUGCAACAGAGACUUUUCAGUUCUUGUGUUACUUGAAUCAUCAAUUAUGAACUUAUAACUACUCAUAUAAAACCUUUGAUAAUUAAAAUCAGAUUUCUAAUAUUCAUUCAUUCAUUCAUAAUAUUCCUUUGCUGACAUUACUAGUUUCAAUUCUGGCUGUUUUGGUUCUAGACUACAAACUAAAUACAACAAACCCCAUAAGAAUGCAAAUAGCCGUGAUUCCUCUCCCAAAGCUCUUUGAUUGUGCCUCCCCAGCAUUCCUUCCUGACUAAUUCCAUCUUGUAUUCCAAAAUUGACUCUGGCACUAAAUCCUAAGAGGAGAUUUUUUUUUAACCUACUACCAAAGUGAAUUAGGCCACUUUUCCUCUGCACUCCCAUGAAACAGUUGUGCCCUCGCUGCCAUUUGAAUGAGUAAACACAUGAAUUAAUCAAUGGGUUAAUGCUUAGCAAUUUGUGGGAGCUCUCAACUUGAGAAUAAUAUGCUUAAGGACAGGGAUUAUGCCUUACUCCUAGUCCCUCUUGCAACCCAUGCCAAGAAACCUGACAUUUUAAAAUACCAUAUUAGUAUUUGUUUAAUGAGAAAAUUUUAGAAUGCAUAUAUAAAUGUAGCUACUCAUUUUUCUUCACUUUUCUAUUCUAAAGUCCAAAAAUCUGUUUAGUCCUUACUUGCUACAAACCUGUAUUCUAAUAAAUAUUGUUCUCACUUGGAAAAUAAACUCCCAUCUCUUUACCAAUAAUU